RNAcentral lists this transfer RNA (99 nucleotides) under Moesziomyces antarcticus. RNAcentral describes it as "Pseudozyma antarctica tRNA". It matches the Rfam family "tRNA". Rfam says of the family: Transfer RNA (tRNA) molecules are approximately 80 nucleotides in length. The record is from Rfam by way of RNAcentral. Lineage: Eukaryota; Fungi; Basidiomycota; Ustilaginomycetes; Ustilaginales; Ustilaginaceae.
GGGUCUUUAGCUCAGCAGUAGAGCGGCAGACUUCGGUUUUCAAUCUGAAGGUCCUUUCAGGCAUUCUGCAGGUCGCGGGUUCAAUCCCCGUAGGACUCU